Molecule: non-coding RNA, 466 nt
Organism: Pelobates cultripes (western spadefoot toad)
Lineage: Eukaryota; Metazoa; Chordata; Amphibia; Anura; Pelobatidae
Source: the annotation of a GenBank genome assembly
AGAUAUUCUGAGUAAAUGUGGAAUCAUAGGAUUUUACAGUCCCGGCUGACGAUUGAUGUUUGGCAAAGCAGUUUUUUCUUUUACCGUUAAGCAAGUCAAUAAGGGGGAAUUGGUCUAUUACAGUGUUUCCCAAUGUUCUUGGCUGUGACUCAGUUGUUCCUCAUGUGGUUUGAGUGAUUGAAACAGGUACAUAAUGUAUCUGCGUACAAUACUCUAAGUGAGGUCACUGGCUCCACACUAUAUUGAAAAGAAGAAAAACUACCACAACAAGUGGACAUAGUCUUAAAUAAGAGGGGCAAAGGUUUAAAAAUAUCAACUGAACUGGGCAAACAGAGGGUAGUGGAUGCAUAGAAUAGCCUUCCAGCUGAAGUGGUAGAGAUUAACACAGUGAAGGAGUUUAAACAUGUGGGUGAUAGGCAUAAGGCUAUCCCAGAUAUAAGAUAUGGCCAGGGACUAAUUAAAGAAC